Molecule: ribosomal RNA, 368 nt
Filed under: uncultured organism
Description: bacterial LSU rRNA
Rfam family: Bacterial large subunit ribosomal RNA
Source: RNAcentral
CUUUACUGUAGCCUGGUAUUGGGUUCGGGCUUUGACUGCGCAGGAUAGGUGGGAGGCUGAGAAGUGUGCCUUGUGGGGCACAUGGAGUCAACGGUGAGAUACCACUCUGUCAGAGCUAGAAUUCUAACCUUCACCCGUAAUCCGGGGAAGGAACCGUAUCAGGUGGGCAGUUUGACUGGGGCGGUCGCCUCCUAAAAGGUAACGGAGGCGCGCAAAGGUGUUCUCAGGCUGGUUGGAAAUCAGCCGUAGAGUGUAAAGGCAGAAGAACGCUUGACUGUGAGAGUGACAACUCAAGCAGGGUGGAAACACGGCCUUAGUGAUCCGACGGUAUGCGCGUGGAAGUGCCGUCGCUCAACGGAUAAAAGUUA